GAGUUUGAUCCUGGCUCAGAACGAACGCUGGCGGCAGGCUUAACACAUGCAAGUCGAGCGCGCCCUUCGGGGUGAGCGGCGGACGGGUGAGUAACGCGUGGGAACAUACCCUUCACUGCGGAAUAGCCUCUGGAAACGGAGAGUAAUACCGCAUACGCCCUUUUGGGGAAAGAUUUAUCGGUGAGGGAUUGGCCCGCGUUGGAUUAGGUAGUUGGUGGGGUAAUGGCCUACCAAGCCGACGAUCCAUAGCUGGUUUGAGAGGAUGAUCAGCCACACUGGGACUGAGACACGGCCCAGACUCCUACGGGAGGCAGCAGUGGGGAAUCUUAGACAAUGGGGGCAACCCUGAUCUAGCCAUGCCGCGUGUGUGAUGAAGGCCUUAGGGUCGUAAAGCACUUUCGCCUGUGAAGAUAAUGACGGUAGCAGGUAAAGAAACCCCGGCUAACUCCGUGCCAGCAGCCGCGGUAAUACGGAGGGGGUUAGCGUUGUUCGGAAUUACUGGGCGUAAGGCGCGCGUAGGCGGACUAUUAAGUCAGGGGUGAAAUCCCGGGGCUCAACCCCGGAACCGCCUUUGAUACUGGUAGUCUUGAGUUCGAGAGAGGUGAGUGGAAUUCCGAGUGUAGAGGUGAAAUUCGUAGAUAUUCGGAGGAACACCAGUGGCGAAGGCGGCUCACUGGCUCGAUACUGACGCUGANGUGCGAAAGCGUGGGGAGCAAACANGAUUAGAUACCCUGGUAGUC
This 740-nucleotide ribosomal RNA is filed under the name uncultured marine bacterium. RNAcentral describes it as "bacterial SSU rRNA". It matches the Rfam family "Bacterial small subunit ribosomal RNA", at positions 9 to 795 of the family's 1533-position model. The record is from RNAcentral.